Long non-coding RNA from Alosa sapidissima (American shad), 1238 nucleotides. RefSeq lists it as uncharacterized. The record is from RefSeq and is a predicted model, not a curated record. The transcript is spliced from 4 exons. NCBI's taxonomy places the organism in Eukaryota, Metazoa, Chordata, Actinopteri, Clupeiformes, Clupeidae.
AGUGGGUAAUUGGCAGCUGUGCUCCAUAAAAAGGAAGCGCGGCUAUCCAGGGCAGACGUCUGCUUUGUCCAGGGACGACUCUGACCGACCUAUCGCCUAUCCCCGACGUUUGGCUGUAGUUUGUUCCACCAUUUGCUCCAGUAACAGAAGUCGCUGCUAAACUACUGGCUGGAUAUUCUCACGGCUGCUCUUUCCCCCGGUGUGCUCAUCAAUUCCAGCUUAGCAACAUCACAGAGUGUUGCGUUGUCCGGGCUCCCUACAUCUGACGUUAGCUGUUGCAUGGAUCUGUAUGGUAUCCUGAUGUGGUGACGGCCUUGCUGUUUUGUUCCUGUUUGGGGUUUGCUGUGUGGAGCGCCUUCCGCUUCUCUCUGUGGCCUUCCAUCGCUGCGUCUCUGAUGCAUGAUUGCUAGCUAACCUGGUGGUGGCUAUCUGCUUGGGCCUGUUUAGUGCGGACGUGCGUGUUUGUUGCAUGAGUGUGCAUGUGUGGGAGUUUGGUUUGCUUGCUGCUCUAUUGAUGCUCUGUGCUUUUCUCUAUAUUUUGUUUUGUCUUAUUUGUACUCAUUUGUUUUUGUUUGUUUUCUACUGCAUGUACUGUCAAGUGGGCUUUCCCUGUGAAUGUUGCUUGUCUCUCCUGCUGGGGGCUGCAUUGGGCGCAUGUUGGAGGGUGUAUUCUCCUCUGGUGGUGUCCAUCCCUUAUUGUGCUGUGUUAAUUAGUUUAGAUAAGUCACCUUUUUUUUUGAUUUGCAGUGUGGUUUGAAUCACAGAUUUCGCCUCAGAGGCUUUGACAUCUGCCCUCUACGGUUGUCACAGCCAGGACAGGUUCCCAAACGAGCAAUCAGUCCAACUUAACCACACCUGCCCGUUCACUCUCCCCUGCUUAUUAGUUACUCACCCCAACCAAUCAGUCUCCACUGCUCAUUCUCUUCCCUCCUGAUUGGUGAUCACUUUCACCUGCACUUCAUUGAACCACAGACUACUUAAUCUCCAUUCACCCAGCACUCGGUCUCUGGCCUCAUCAUCGGAUGCUACAGAACUCCAGGUCACUCUGUUCCUUGAAAUCUGUUCUGAACUGCUAUUGAAGCUGAAUCUCCUAAGUUUGCCUUUUGGAUCUCCUGUGUUCUCAGCGUGUGGUAUGACACUUCUGAACUUUUGCCAGUAGGCCAUGUUUUCGUGAAAACCCUGGAUUCUGCCUGUGAUGUUCUGAUGCCUGUAAAUAAAUCUCACUCUGCUUGACUUCU